CCUACGGGUGGCUGCAGUGGGGAAUAUUGGACAAUGGGCGAAAGCCUGAUCCAGCCAUGCCGCGUGUGUGAAGAAGGCCUUCGGGUUGUAAAGCACUUUCAGUGGGGAAGAAAGCCUUGGGGCUAAUACCCUCGAGGAAGGACAUCACCCACAGAAGAAGCACCGGCUAACUCCGUGCCAGCAGCCGCGGUAAUACGGAGGGUGCGAGCGUUAAUCGGAAUUACUGGGCGUAAAGCGCGCGUAGGCGGUCUGAUAAGCCGGUUGUGAAAGCCCCGGGCUCAACCUGGGAACGGCAUCCGGAACUGUCAGGCUCGAGGGCAGGAGAGGAAGGUAGAAUUCCCGGUGUAGCGGUGAAAUGCGUAGAGAUCGGGAGGAAUACCAGUGGCGAAGGCGGCCUUCUGGACUGACACUGACGCUGAGGUGCGAAAGCGUGGGUAGCAAACAGGAUUAGAUACCCUUGUAGUC
This 465-nucleotide ribosomal RNA is filed under the name Vreelandella stevensii. Its description in RNAcentral is "partial 16S ribosomal RNA". It matches the Rfam family "Bacterial small subunit ribosomal RNA", at positions 338 to 795 of the family's 1533-position model. The record is from RNAcentral. Lineage: Bacteria; Pseudomonadati; Pseudomonadota; Gammaproteobacteria; Oceanospirillales; Halomonadaceae.